GUGCCAGCCGCCGCGGUAAUACAGAGACUGCAAGCGUUAUUCGGAUUCACUGGGCGUAAAGGGUGCGCAGGCGGCCAAGUGUGUUAGGCGUGAAAGCCUGGGGCUUAACCCCAGAAUUGCACCUAAAACUACAUGGCUAGAGCAUUGGAGAGGGUAGCGGAAUUCACGGUGUAGCAGUGAAAUGCGUAGAUAUCGUGAGGAACACCAGAGGCGAAGGCGGCUACCUGGACAAUUGCUGACGCUCAGGCACGAAAGCGUGGGGAGCAAAAGGGAUUAGAUACCCUUGUAGUCC
This 292-nucleotide ribosomal RNA is filed under the name uncultured bacterium. RNAcentral's name for it is "partial 16S ribosomal RNA". It matches the Rfam family "Bacterial small subunit ribosomal RNA", at positions 505 to 796 of the family's 1533-position model. The record is from RNAcentral.